RNAcentral lists this ribosomal RNA (415 nucleotides) under Prionospio sp. A TMG-2019. RNAcentral describes it as "partial large subunit ribosomal RNA". It matches the Rfam family "Bacterial large subunit ribosomal RNA", at positions 1968 to 2596 of the family's 2925-position model. Lineage: Eukaryota; Metazoa; Annelida; Polychaeta; Spionida; Spionidae. The record is from RNAcentral.
UUUGCCUUUUAAUUGGAGGCUAGUAUGAACGGACACACGAGGGUGAUUCUGUCUCUAUGUUAUUUAUAAAAAUUAAUCCUUAGGUGAAAAAGCCUAAAUUCUAUAAGAAGACGAAAAGACCCUGUGGAGCUUUAUUUCAAUACAAUCUCCUUUUUUACCUACCAAAAGAAACAAAAAAACUGUAUAAAAUUUAGUUGGGGCGACUAAGGAACAAAUUAAACCUUCCUUCUAAAAAAGAAAAUAAAUCCCUCACAGAUCCAUUUUUCAUGAAUAAAAAAUCAGCUACCCCAGGGAUAACAGGCUAAUCUUCUUCGAGAGUCCAAAUUGACAAGAAGGCUUGGCACCUCGAUGUUGGCUUAAGAUCUCUAUAAAGUGCAGCAGCUUUAAUAGUGGGUUUGUUCAACCCUUAAAAUCU